ACCCUGUGCAGGAGUCAGUUCCAAUCAGGACACAGUACAGACAUGAGGGCUCCUGCUCAUCUCCUGGGGCUGCUGCUGCUCUGGAUCCCAGGUUCCAUAUGUGAUAUCCAGUUGACCCAGUCUCCAUCUCAGACUGUAUCUCUCAAAGACCCAGUCACCAUUAGGUGUCAAGCCAGUCAGAGCAUUGGUACUGCAUUAAGUUGGUAUCAGCAAAAGCCAGGGAAAUCUCCUAAGCUCCUCAUCUAUCUUGCAAACAGGUUAGAAGAUGGAGUGCCAUCGAGGUUCAGUGGCAGUGGGUCUGGGACAGAUUUUACCCUCACAAUCAGCACUUUGGAGCCAGAAGAUAUUGGAACUUACUACUGUCAACAGUUCAGCAGUUACCCACCCACAGUGGAACAAGUCAAAACACAAGCCAUUGAGCAAAGCAGAAGUAUGAGCCUGGGCUGCCUCAGCUGCUAUUCUUGGUGA
Molecule: non-coding RNA, 468 nt
Organism: Mesocricetus auratus (golden hamster)
Lineage: Eukaryota; Metazoa; Chordata; Mammalia; Rodentia; Cricetidae
Source: the annotation of a RefSeq genome assembly